Mesocricetus auratus (golden hamster) is the source of this 2957-nucleotide long non-coding RNA. RefSeq lists it as uncharacterized. The transcript has 3 exons. The record is from RefSeq and is a predicted model, not a curated record. NCBI's taxonomy places the organism in Eukaryota, Metazoa, Chordata, Mammalia, Rodentia, Cricetidae.
UACUGUGCGCUCUGGAGAGAGGCAGGCAGGUCCUACUCUGUUUACCUGGUUGGUGGGCAAGAGCCUGUCCUCAGACCUUGGAGCUGAAAAACGGGGCCUGGGACUUAUCACCCCCCUGCUACACGGUAGGUGGCAAGUGGGCCUUAUAGCCUCAUCUCUCUCUUUAAUCCUCCCCACUUGUUUAGAAAAGCACCCUUUGAUGUCACUCUGAUGACGUCCAUCGUCCUCCGGAAACCUGCUACGACAGGGGCGCCUCCUCCGUCACAGGCCCGAUUCACAGAACACUCCGUGUUCAGCGGCUCUCCGAGAGGAGGAUUCCAAAUCUGCCUUUAGCCCUAAAUAGCUACAAUAUCGGAGUAGCAGCAGCAGCGGCCCCUCACAAAGCCUUUAUAGGAAGCGUCACACCGGGGGAUGGCGUGACACAAGGAGCCACAGCAUCUCAUCAAGAAGCAGGGUGUCACCUGGGAAUGGGAGGAAGAAAAAGAAGAAAUGAAACAGUAUAGAUGGCCAAGAAGGUGAUAAAAGUCGACCAUCUGUUCCUCAGGGAGUUACGAGGCAUCUCUGCCUCUCCGGCAGUUUAACUGGAACUUUCAAAAUGAAACAAAACAAAACAAAACAAAAAACCGGCAUGAGCUGAAAGUCACCUUAGAGAUCCCGAGGCACCGCGCUCCUAUUUUAUAGAAGACGGUUUGGGCUUUUCGACCAAAUCAGAGAGGAUCUCUGGGGACCAGGAGAUGACAGUGCAUCUUUUUCCAGUCUUUGGACCUCUCAUCCACCGGCCUGGAGCCGCGAGGAACGCUGAGUCAGCACGCAGCCAGUGCAGGGCUAGAAAGUCUGGGCCCGAGGAUCAUAUUCACCAGCUACUGGCAAGCAUAUGCUGGCACCUCUUCCAGACUCUUCUCCGUAGGCACACGGCGCCGGAGACUCUGCUCAUGAGGGACAGGGCACAUGAUGCGAGUCAAGAAAGCCCAAAGAUGCCUCGUCGUCAGAACCUCUCGGGCAGGGUUUCUAGAUGUACAAGCCCGUGCCAGCCGCGAUUGAAUGCGAGCAUGUUAAGCCUCGAUGGACCACUGCCGGUCUGCAGUGCCCAGGACAAGAACUCACAGGCUUUCGGGGAAACACUGUGUGUGUGUGUGUGUGUGUGUGUGUGUGUGUGUGUGUGUGUGUGUGUGUGUGUGUUAGUUAGACACAGCUGAGAUACAUUCAGGGAGACCAUGUAUCUGUCAGAGUUCCCAGAACUGGAUUGAGUUCACCAUGAAUGAACUAUUGAAAAGUGGAGCUCGGAGAGCCAGCAAUUGAUUCAUGGGUUUAAAAACAAAAGAGUCCUCUCCACACAUGUAUAACCUUAAUGACCUGACCUAUCCCAAACCCGUGUAAAAAGCCAGAUGGUGGCAUCUCCUUGGGUGACAGCCAUCAGAUAAAUGUCUGUUACGACUCACAAUAAGCCCCUUUCUACAUUGCUGCCAUCGUGUUAAAGGGCUGCUCGGGGCAGGACACUCCCCUCCUGCCUCCUGAUGGGUUUGGAGGAACCUACCCUGGGUUUGCAGGGCUGUGACUUGGAGUCUGACCUCCUGGGGGAUGAUUGGGAGCCAGGACUGAGUCAAACAUCAUUUUAGCAAGCUGAUCUACAAAUCCUCAACAGGAAGGGCUGCUUACCUAGAGAGGCCAUAGGAGCUCUGCGCUCCCUUUAACUUGGUGGUUUCCUGACAGUGAAUUGGCAAGUCUAAAGGAAGCAUGUUUGAUUUUAUUAUGUAUUUAUUUAAUUGGUCUGUGUGUGUGUGUGUGUGUGUGCAGUUAGCGUUAGAACUGGACUGGAUCAUAGGACACCCAGCCAGAUGGUAUCUGGAGAGUUGGAGAGUUGAUUGGUGUGAAGAAAAAGCCCACACAUUUGGUGUCAGAAAUGUUGUAAGUGAAAACAUUUUGGAGGUGGGAACUCAACCCUCUAAUUCUGUGACAUUCCAGCCCAGAAGAGCUAGGCCAUCACCCGCAGGGUCAGCCUGCUUUGUUCUGCAAUGGGUGGGUGAGACACAGCUCUCUAGUUUCACUGUGGUGGCUGGUCUGGCUGGGUCUCAUUGCAGAGGAUGUCCUCGGUUGUUGGCGGGGUUAGACUUUGUGAACAAGCACAAGGCAGCUGGUAGUUUGUCAUCAGCUAAUUUUGUCCCCAGCUGAACCGUACAGCUGGGGGCUCUGACUCCUAGUUCUCACUCAAAACAGAAGACAUUGGUGAGAACGGUGUCUGUUGUCCAAGCUGGAAACAAAGCUCAGUGGACACAACACACACAGGCAAGGCUGCCUUGCUUCCGCUUCUGACUUCUUAAGUGUCCCGUGAUCUCAAUGGCUUUUAUCAGAGAGCGGUUAGGGUGGGUCAGUACUAGGACAAGAAUCCAGAACGAUGUGGACAUUCCCGCUAUCUGUCAUGGGUUUGAUCCCAGGAACACAUAAGAGAAAUCUGAGGUUACAAGGAUGCACGCCCUACAUCCCAGCAGGACUGGAUGUGUAACCCCAUCGUGGUCAGCUAAGGGAUGCAAGCUACUUCUGCUUCAUGCCAGGACGCAUGGUUGAAUUUCUCUCUCAGGUUUUCCAUCGCUGGACCUCAGGGAUGCUCACACCCUCCGUUUGGAUCUUCAUUUGGGAUAGCAUCAGUGUACUAAAUGCCGUGCUAAGAUCUGCUUGCAACCGCUGCUGGAUAGCGCUGCAGGUGCUGUGGAGUCUGACAGAUCCUCACAAUGGUAAAUAUAGCUUAACCCAAGGCCUAACAAUUCCACCCCUGGAUAUACACCUAAGAGGAAUGAAAACACAAUCCCACAAAGACCAACACACGAGUGCUUAUGCCAGCAUUAAUUUUUAGUAGAAAGUUUAAGAAAACCAGAAAAAACCCAGAUGUUUACAAAAUGAUGAUGAGAUAAAACAUAUUUAUAAAAUAAAAUAUUGUUUGGCUGUAGCCAUAUGAAUACUUA